CUCCUACGGGAGGCAGCAGUGGGGAAUAUUGGACAAUGGGUGCAAGCCUGAUCCAGCCAUGCCGUGUGUGUGAAGAAGGCCUUCGGGUUGUAAAGCACUUUUAUCAGGAACGAAAUCAGCAAGGUUAAUACCUUGGCAGUCUGACGGUACCUGAGGAAUAAGCACCGGCUAACUUCGUGCCAGCAGCCGCGGUAAUACGGAGGGUGCAAGCGUUAAUCGGAAUUACUGGGCGUAAAGCGUGCGUAGGCGGUUGGUUAAGUCUGAUGUGAAAGCCCCGGGCUCAACCUGGGAAUGGCAGUGGAUACUGGCUAGCUAGAGUGUGAAAGAGGAGGGAGCAAAGCCCGGGGAAGCGGUGAAAUGAGUAGAGAUCGGGAGGAACAUCAGUGGCGAAGG
RNAcentral lists this ribosomal RNA (393 nucleotides) under uncultured Lysobacteraceae bacterium. Its description in RNAcentral is "bacterial SSU rRNA". It matches the Rfam family "Bacterial small subunit ribosomal RNA", at positions 336 to 721 of the family's 1533-position model. The record is from RNAcentral. Lineage: Bacteria; Pseudomonadati; Pseudomonadota; Gammaproteobacteria; Lysobacterales; Lysobacteraceae.